CGACGGGGGAGAAACGAAGUGAUGAGGGGUUGGCAGCAGCGUGAAUCAGUAUUUUGAUCCAGAAGAAGUGGAUAAAGGUCAGAGCUGAAUGCCGCCCCGGUGAGUCUGAUGUUUGUAGGAGUUCAGUCACAAAGCUCCAAGGAUCAGUGCAGCCUGUGUUUCAGAGGAUUUAUUAAGCCCUUGUGGUUAUGUGAGGAUUGGCUCUGUUACAGAGCCCAGCUCAUGAUCAGCAGAGCGAGAUGCAAAGAAAAUGAACAAGUGUUGGCCUGGAGCGACAGCAGGCAGUGCCACCGCUGCUGAUGACCUUCACUGUCUGAGCCCUGCAGGCAGAGAGACAGACUACCUGUGUCACUCUGUCUUUCACUCUCUUCACCUGAAACCUCAGAUGCUUACACUAUCUCCUCUUUUCAAUGUCAUCUCAUCUUCAUCCUUAUCCUUGUUAUCUCCUUUUUCUUCUAUGCUCUUUCCACCUGUUACACUCUUUUUCCCCCAGUGCAUUCAUGGUCUUUAGGACAUAAAUCCUUUCAUUCAUUUCAAAACACCUCAUGGUCUUCCCUUUAGCACCACUCUUACACUUCUAUCACUGAUAUUCCCCUUGGAAGAUUUAACAAUGAAAGUGAAGUGAAAUAAACGAGUCAUUGGCAGAUAAUUGGCUUACAUGUGUCACUAAGCUGUUUGCAUCACAUCACAUAGAAGGAAUGGAAUACAUUAUUCACAUGAACAGACACUGAGCUCUGAGCAGAAACUAACAGCAUCCAAAUGUGUUCAGCAGUAUUCCUGACCUGUCACCUGAUUGCCAUACCAGUCAAAUCUGAACACACACACACUUCAUUCACACACUGUUAGAAUUACAGUCAAAUCUUCGUCUCAUAAUUAUCAGCUUUAGUCUUUUUCUUUACUAUCAAAACUAACACAGUGAUUAUUGAGCAACAAAACUAAAAGCUAACACAACAUGACUUUUUAAGGAGCAGAUGUGUAAAAAUAUUAUUGGCUAAAAGAUUCUUCACUAUAAUGAAGAUGAUGUAGAUCAUUUCAUGGUCAAUAUUCAGACAUUCAGUGAGGUUCUGUUUAGUUGUGGUGGCAGGAUCAUGUUUUCUUGUUGUACAGGUGUUGUUUUCAUUUCAUGAUCCCACGCUGAGGUCAGCUGCUUCUAGAAUCUUGCGUGACUCAGCUGUAAACAGGAAACUGAUGAGCUGAAGUUCAUUUAGCAUCUUGCAAAAUGGCCUGUAGAGCUUUUCAGAUUUUUGUUAAUAGCUUUCUCAUUUUUGUCACUUCAAAGAAAUUUUAUUUCUAUGUGGACCUUCAUGUACAAACUCCAUUUUUUAUUGAUUUAUGUAAUGUAUUUAUGUAAUGUAUGAUGUAAUGUUUUAUUGAUUUAUGUAAUGUAUUAUACUAUUGUAGCACAUUUUUUGUCAUCGGCUUUCUCUUUUUUUAGAACACUUCAGAUCCUUUCAUCUGAACCUCCUCCCAUUAUAUUCUCAACUGCCAUUUUUAAAAGAGAAAUCAUGCAAUAUGGUCCAAUGACUUGUAUUAUAUUCCCACAGUUCAAACCUCUCUUUGCUUUUCCAAUCUUCAUGUCCACUUGAACAACAGUUACACAGCGUUUAUUUACUCAGCUAAGACUCUUUUUU
Molecule: long non-coding RNA, 1631 nt
Organism: Thunnus maccoyii (southern bluefin tuna)
Lineage: Eukaryota; Metazoa; Chordata; Actinopteri; Scombriformes; Scombridae
Exons: 3
Source: RefSeq, a predicted model, not a curated record